This 675-nucleotide ribosomal RNA is filed under the name uncultured organism. Its description in RNAcentral is "bacterial SSU rRNA". It matches the Rfam family "Bacterial small subunit ribosomal RNA", at positions 122 to 811 of the family's 1533-position model. The record is from RNAcentral.
UAACCUGCCCCAAAGAUAGGGAUAACAGUUCGAAAGGACUGCUAAUACCUUGUGUGGUCAUUUAGCUUAUACGCUUUUUGACUAAAGGAGCUUGCUCCGCUUUGGGAGGGGCCUGCGUCCCAUCAGCUAGUUGGUACGGUAAUGGCCUACCAAGGCAAUGACUGGUAGGGGACCUGAGAGGGUGGACCCCCACAAUGGAACUGAAACACGGUCCAUACACCUACGGGUGGCAGCAGUAGGGAAUAUUGGUAAUGUGCGAAAGCGCGAACCAGCAACGCCGCGUGUGCGAAGAAGGCCUUCGGGUUGUUAAGCACUUUUCGGGAGGAAGAGGAAGGACUGUACUCCCGGAAUAAGUCUCGGCUAACUACGUGCCAGCAUCCGCGGUCAUACGUAGGAGGCAAACGUUAUCCGGAUUUACUGGGCGUAAAGCGCGUGCAGGCUGUUCGAUAAGUUGGGCGUGAAAGCUCCCGGCUCAACUGGGAGAGGUCGUUCAAUACUGUCGGACUAGAGGAUGGUAGAGGAAGGUGGAAUUCCGGGUGUAGUGGUGACAUGCGCAGAUAUCCGGAGGAACACCAGUGGCGAAAGCGGCCUUCUGGACCAUUCCUGACGCUCAGACGCGAAAGCUAGGGUAGCAAACGGGAUUAGAGAGCCCGGUAGUCCUAGCUGUAAACGAUG